This is a long non-coding RNA of Vombatus ursinus (common wombat), 842 nucleotides long. RefSeq lists it as uncharacterized. The transcript has 3 exons. Lineage: Eukaryota; Metazoa; Chordata; Mammalia; Diprotodontia; Vombatidae. The record is from RefSeq and is a predicted model, not a curated record.
GUUUUCUGUUGCUCACGGUGAAGCCCAGGGAUACAGCUGCACAUAGAAUGAAUAGAAGAUGUUUUAAGAAGAGGGCUGCACCCCAGGUCUCCGUAUCUCAUCCACGUUGGAAGUGAAACAGCUCCUCAUAGGUUGAUGUGCAAAGAAGCUUUGGCCCACUUUGUUUCUGACCUGGGCCAGUUUGCUGUUCCUUAGGCAGCCCGGUCUCCUCCCCCACACCUCCACCCCCACCCUACCCCUGCUCCUGGGGUUCAUCAUAUUGGCACCCCAAUCAGCUUAGCUGUACUGUAGCUCAGAACAUAUGAACUUAGACGCCAGUCUUAGACUCCCUAAUAACAGGAUUAUAGGCAUGAGUCACCAAACACAGCUCAUUUCUGAAUGUGUCCCUAUAAAAAGAAAAAAUAAGUUCAGCAAAACCAACAUACAGAUUACAGGGAUAUUAAUCCAUAUGAUAUGUGUAACAUAUAUACUAUUAAUUUAGAUUUCUCAGAGCUGCCUCUUCUGCUUACAAUGCAACUUGAAAUGAUCAAACCCUUGACAAUGCUCUCACAAUCACUACAUUCCUGUGCCUGUUUACGUUAAGUGAAGUGAAUCAAAGAUUGUAGAACCUGUUCCUGUCACAAUUCUGGUCCUGCACCCUACCAAGUAAGGACCCCCAAAGACUUGAAACAAUACCGUUCCCACAAGACUCCAGAACACCUGUAUUGUCCCGCACUCAUGGGUUUGUCAUGGGCAACCCAUGCAGUCCCUGGAAAUGAUUGUAAUCUACCCUUCCCCCCUUUCCCACUUGUGUUUAUGUACAUAAACUCUUCCUUUACGCCAGCAAGUAAGAGCAUUCCUCA